ACUCCUACGGGAGGCAGCAGUGGGGAAUAUUGCACAAUGGGCGCAAGCCUGAUGCAGCCAUGCCGCGUGUAUGAAGAAGGCCUUCGGGUUGUAAAGUACUUUCAGCAGUGAGGAAGGUGGAUAUGUUAAUAGCAUAUUCAUUUGACGUUAGCUGCAGAAGAAGCACCGGCUAACUCCGUGCCAGCAGCCGCGGUAAUACGGAGGGUGCGAGCGUUAAUCGGAAUUACUGGGCGUAAAGCGCAUGCAGGUGGUUUGUUAAGUCAGAUGUGAAAGCCCGGGGCUCAAACCUCGGAAAUUGCAAUUUGAAACUGGCAAACUAGAGUACUGUAGAGGGGGGUAGAAUUUCAGGUGUAAGCGGUGAAAUGCGUAAGAGAUACUGAAAGGAAUACCGGUAGGCGAAGGCGGCCCCCUGGACAGAUACUGACAUCAGAUGCGAAAGCGUGGGGAGCAAAACAGGAUUAGAUACCCUGGUAGCUCUGC
RNAcentral lists this ribosomal RNA (480 nucleotides) under uncultured bacterium. Its description in RNAcentral is "bacterial SSU rRNA". It matches the Rfam family "Bacterial small subunit ribosomal RNA", at positions 335 to 798 of the family's 1533-position model. The record is from RNAcentral.